GGAAGUAAAAGCGUAACAAGGUUUCCGUAGGUGAACCUGCGGAAGGAUCAUUAUUGUAUAACCGAGGUGCGAGGGCUGUCGCUGACCGAAAGGUCGUGCACGCCCGAGUGCCCUCACACACAUCCAUCUCACCCCUAUGUGCACCACCGCGUGGGUCCCCCUUUCGCUUGUUCGGAGGGGGGCUUACGUUUUCACACAAACUUUGUAUGCAGUGUAGAAUGUAUUUUUUGUUUUUGCGAUCACGCAAUCAAUACAACUUUCAACAACGGAUCUCUUGGCUCUC
This 283-nucleotide unclassified non-coding RNA is filed under the name plant metagenome. Its description in RNAcentral is "partial contains small subunit ribosomal RNA, internal transcribed spacer 1, and 5.8S ribosomal RNA". The stretch from base 1 to 53 matches the Rfam family "Eukaryotic small subunit ribosomal RNA", at positions 1778 to 1831 of the family's 1831-position model. The record is from RNAcentral.